This 470-nucleotide ribosomal RNA is filed under the name Sibon merendonensis. RNAcentral's name for it is "partial large subunit ribosomal RNA". It matches the Rfam family "Bacterial large subunit ribosomal RNA", at positions 1911 to 2603 of the family's 2925-position model. The record is from RNAcentral. Lineage: Eukaryota; Metazoa; Chordata; Lepidosauria; Squamata; Dipsadidae.
AGUGAACAAUUAAACGGCCGCGGUACCCUAACCGUGCAAAGGUAGCAUAAUCAUUUGUCUAUUAAUUGUAGACCAGCAUGAAAGGCAAAAUGAGGGUCCGUCUGUCUCUUACAAUGAAUCAAUUAAACUGAUCUCCUAGUAAAAAAGCUAGAAUCCACACACAAGACCAAAAGACCCUGUGAAGCUUGAACUAAACUAUUAAACCCUAUAAUACCUACUUUCGGUUGGGGCGACCUUGGAAAAAAAAGAAACUUCCAAACAUAUGACUACACUCACAAACAGGCCUACAAGCCUUAAUAGACCCAGCACAGCUGAUAAUUGAACCAAGUUACUCCAGGGAUAACAGCGCUAUCUUCUUCAAGAGUCCAUAUCAAAAAGAAGGUUUACGACCUCGAUGUUGGAUCAGGACAUCCUAAUGGUGCAGCCGCUAUUAAGGGUUCGUUUGUUCAACGAUUAACAGUCCUACGUGA